AUUGAACGCUGGCGGCAGGCCUAGCACAUGCAAGUCGAGCGGAUGAAGGGAGCUUGCUCCUGGAUUCAGCGGCGGACGGGUGAGUAAUGCCUGGGAAUCUGCCUGGUAGUGGGGGAUAACGUCCGGAAACGGGCGCUAAUACCGCAUACGUCCUGAGGGAGAAAGUGGGGGAUCUUCGGACCUCACGCUAUCAGAUGAGCCUAGGUCGGAUUAGCUAGUUGGUGGGGUAAAGGCCUACCAAGGCGACGAUCCGUAACUGGACUGAGAGGAUGAUCAGUCACACUGGAACUGAGACACGGUCCAGACUCCUACGGGAGGCAGCAGUGGGGAAUAUUGGACAAUGGGCGAAAGCCUGAUCCAGCCAUGCCGCGUGUGUGAAGAAGGUCUUCGGAUUGUAAAGCACUUUAAGUUGGGAGGAAGGGCAGUAAGUUAAUACCUUGCUGUUUUGACGUUACCAACAGAAUAAGCACCGGCUAACUUCGUG
Molecule: ribosomal RNA, 484 nt
Filed under: uncultured bacterium
Lineage: Bacteria
Description: partial 16S ribosomal RNA
Rfam family: Bacterial small subunit ribosomal RNA
Source: RNAcentral